GAUGAACGCUUGCGGCGUGCCUAAUACAUGCCAGUCGAGCGAACAGACGAGGAGCUUGCUCCUCUGACGUUAGCGGCGGACGGGUGAGUAACACGUGGAUAACCUACCUAUAAGACUGGGAUAACUUCGGGAAACCGGAGCUAAUACCGGAUAAUAUAUUGAACCGCAUGGUUCAAUAGUGAAAGACGGUUUUGCUGUCACUUAUAGAUGGAUCCGCGCCGCAUUAGCUAGUUGGUAAGGUAACGGCUUACCAAGGCAACGAUGCGUAGCCGACCUGAGAGGGUGAUCGGCCACACUGGAACUGAGACACGGUCCAGACUCCUACGGGAGGCAGCAGUAGGGAAUCUUCCGCAAUGGGCGAAAGCCUGACGGAGCAACGCCGCGUGAGUGAUGAAGGUCUUCGGAUCGUAAAACUCUGUUAUUAGGGAAGAACAAAUGUGUAAGUAACUAUGCACGUCUUGACGGUACCUAAUCAGAAAGCCACGGCUAACUACGUG
RNAcentral lists this ribosomal RNA (497 nucleotides) under uncultured bacterium. Its description in RNAcentral is "partial 16S ribosomal RNA". It matches the Rfam family "Bacterial small subunit ribosomal RNA", at positions 28 to 507 of the family's 1533-position model. The record is from RNAcentral.